RNAcentral lists this ribosomal RNA (2145 nucleotides) under Triticum aestivum (bread wheat). Its description in RNAcentral is "partial small subunit ribosomal RNA". Lineage: Eukaryota; Viridiplantae; Streptophyta; Magnoliopsida; Poales; Poaceae. The record is from RNAcentral.
AUGGGCGGAAGCAGGCGGUCUCCCACUUGCGGGUCUUUGGCUGCCUUGCGUUCGCCAAGGAGCUCGGCCACAUCGGCAAGCUCGACGACAGGAGCACUCCGGGAGUCUUCAUCGGCUACGCGGAGGGCUCAAAGGCCUACCGCAUCCUCGACCCAAAGACACAGCAUGUGCGCAUGGCGCGAGACGUCGUGUUCAACGAAGGGCGAGGGUGGCAAUGGGACAAGGCGGUGGACGACGGCUCGACGCCGACGUAUGACGAGCUCCUCUUCGCCGGGCACGCCUACCCCGCCCCCCAAAACCACAUCGACUCCGGUGCCUGCUACGCCGACGGCACCACAACCGGCGAGGCCGCACACUCCAGCCCCGGCAGUCACCACCCCGGGCUCAUCUUCAUCAGCACCAGCUCACGCAGAGCACAACCCGACGAAGUUCGCUUCUCCGCUCACUCACGACGAGGAGCGGAUCGACGCGUAUGAUGGCGGCGAACCGCUGCGGUAUCGUACGAUGGAAGAUCUACUCGGCGACCAGCCGGUGCCGGGACUGGUGCCACGUGACCUGGAGGCGCAGCUACAACUCGCGUGUGAAGACGGCGAACCACAGUCUUUUGCAGAGGCCGAGAGAGACGCGGCAUGGCGCGCCGCGAUGCAGUUGGAGAUGGAUGCGGUCGAGCAAAACCACACCUGGGAGCUUGUUGACCUCCCUCGUGGUCACCGCGCAAUCACCCUUAAGUGGGUGUUCAAGCUGAAGAGGGAUGGAGUCGGCGCCAUCAUCAAGCACAAGGCUCGCUUGGUGGCCCGAGGCUUCUUGCAGCAGGAAGGAGUCGACUUCGACGACGCCUUCGCUCCCGUGGCACGGAUGGAGUCCGUGCGACUUCUCCUCGCGCUGGCUGCCCAGGAGGGCUGGCAUGUCCAUCAUAUGGAUGUCAAGUCGGCAUUCCUCAACGGCGACUUGAAGGAGGAAGUCUACGUGCAUCAGCCACCGGGAUUUGCGAUCCCUGGCCAGGAGGGCAAGGUACUCCGCCUGCGCAAGGCUCUCUAUGGCCUACGGCAGGCACCUAGGGCGUGGAACGCCAAGCUGGACUCCACGCUAAAGAAGAUGGGAUUCGAGCAAAGCCCGCAUGAGGCGGCCGUCUACCGACGGGGCAGUGGAGGAAACGCCCUGCUGGUGGGCGUCUAUGUUGACGACUUGGUGAUUACCGGCACCAAAGAUGCAGAGGUGGCAACGUUCAAGGAAGACAUGAAGGCCACCUUCCAGAUGAGUGAUCUGGGGCUCCUCUCCUUCUAUCUUGGGAUUGAGGUGCACCAGGAUCACUCCGGGAUCGCGCUUCGACAGUCCGCCUACGCCAAGCGCAUCGUUGAGCUAGCUGGGCUCACCGACUGUCACCCAGCUCUCACUCCGAUGGAGGAGAGGCUGAAACUGAGCCGUGACAGCAAGGCGGAGGAAGUGGAUGCUACGCAGUACCGACGCCUUGUGGGGAGCCUUCGCUACCUCGCCCACACACGGCCGGACUUGGCAUUCUCCGUCGGCUAUGUCAGUCGGUUCAUGGAGCGACUGACGACGGAGCACCAGCAGGCAGUGAAGAGGAUCGUCCGCUACGUAGCAGGGACCCUCGACCACGGCCUCCACUACCCUAGGUGUCCGGGGGCGGCACACUUCGUCGGAUACAGCGACAGCGACCACGCCGGCGACAUCGACACCAGCAAGAGCACGAGCGGGAUCCUCUUCUUCCUCGGCAAGUGUCUCGUGAGCUGGCAAUCAGUCAAGCAGCAGGUGGUGGCCCUGUCCAGCUGUGAGGCUGAGUACAUAGCGGCCUCCACCGCCUGCACUCAGGCGCUCUGGCUCGCUCGACUGCUUGGUGAUCUCCUCGUCCGAGACACCAGAACGGUGCAGUUCCUGGUGGACAGCAAGUCCGCCCUGGCCCUGGCAAAGAACCCCGUUUUCCACGAACGGAGCAAGCACAUCCGACUGAGGUACCAUUUCAUCCGCAGCUGUGUGGAAGAAGGGAGCAUCGAGGCGAGCUACAUCAACACCACGGACCAGCUCGCAGACCUGCUCACCAAGCCUCUUGGGAGGAUCAAGUUCCUCGAACUCUGCUCCAGGAUCGGGAUGAUUCAACCCUCCCACAAAACGACGUACAAGACUUAG